GACCAACGCUGGCGGCGUGCUUAACACAUGCAAGUCGAACGGAAAGGCCCUUCGGGGUCCUCGAGUGGCGAACGGGUGAGUAACACGUGGGUGAUCUGCCCUGCACUUUGGGAUAAGCCUGGGAAACUGGGUCUAAUACCGAAUAUGAUCAUCGGCUUCAUGGUCGGUGGUGGAAAGCUUUUGCGGUGUGGGAUGGGCCCGCGGCCUAUCAGCUUGUUGGUGGGGUAAUGGCCUACCAAGGCGACGACGGGUAGCCGGCCUGAGAGGGUGUCCGGCCACACUGGGACUGAGAUACGGCCCAGACUCCUACGGGAGGCAGCAGUGGGGAAUAUUGCACAAUGGGCGCAAGCCUGAUGCAGCGACGCCGCGUGAGGGAUGACGGCCUUCGGGUUGUAAACCUCUUUCAGCACAGACGAAGCGCAAGUGACGGUAUGUGCAGAAGAAGGACCGGCCAACUACGUG
This 462-nucleotide ribosomal RNA is filed under the name uncultured bacterium. RNAcentral's name for it is "partial 16S ribosomal RNA". It matches the Rfam family "Bacterial small subunit ribosomal RNA", at positions 28 to 507 of the family's 1533-position model. The record is from RNAcentral.